Molecule: long non-coding RNA, 8603 nt
Filed under: Malus domestica (apple)
Lineage: Eukaryota; Viridiplantae; Streptophyta; Magnoliopsida; Rosales; Rosaceae
Description: long non-coding RNA (MDOM_LNC012692)
Source: RNAcentral
GCCUCGGAAGUGAAAAGAAUAAGAAGCAUAAAAGCUUCUGGGAAAGGGGGGAGAAGGGAGCUGCCCUUUGGGGCAGCUCGCACAGACGCAGGAAGGAGGCGCGGACAGAACAGAAAAGAAAAGAAAAGCUGCCUUUGCAGCUGAGCAGCGCAGGAAAGCACAGCGAGACUGUGCGGUAAAAUAACGCUGCCUUUGGCAGCCUUGAAAACAAAAACCGAAGAGGACAGAAAAGUAGAGUGGCGCAGAAAAUAAGAGGGAGCACCGAGAGGUGAGCAGCGAGAGGUGACGUGGGGCAGAGGAGAAGAGCUGCCAUUUGGCAGCUUGAGCAUGGAGGCAAGUCAGAAAACAGAGAAGUCAGACAGACAGAAGCAGCAAGCACUCUCCUCUCUCUCGGUUAAAUCUUUCCCACUUAUAUUUUACUUUUGGUUUAUUUGUGUUUUAAUAAUGUGUAACUAAUUUUAUUUUGGCUAGAGGUUAAUUCAAAGCUAUGAAUAUAUUUAUAAUAUGAAUUGAUUACCUUCAGUUGUGAUUUCUGAGUUGUGAUUUAAUUUGCUUAACUGCUUGAUUUAUAACUUAUUUUUGUAUGUCGAUUAAGGAUGCAUACUUAAUUUACAUGCAUGAAUUUGAUGCUAGAAUAUAAGUGAAUUUCACCUAAUCGUUAUGAACUUAUAUUCACAAGUAGUGAAGGUUGCUAGUCACAAUCACGUUAAGUAAAUUCUUGGCAUAAGUUUCAUGCAAUUCAUAGUAACAAGUGCCUCGUCAAUGCUUAUGAUUUUCAUAGAACUUAAUGAUUCUUGCUUGUAUCUCUAUUAUGCAAUUCAUGUAGGGAACUUGUGGGAAAUGUUUUGGGUUGUCGUAUGCAAUCAUCCAAUCCAUUAACUUAAGGAAAAUCUGAGAAUUAAUCUAUGCAAUUCAUGGUUAAUUUGGGGCAUUGAAAAUUCAUAACUUAUUGAAAGAACAACUGAAAAUCAAUUUAGGUUGCAUAUAUGUCAUGUGUGGAGAAGAACCCUCUAGCUAGUCCGUCAUCUAUCAUUUUACCUUAAUUUUAUGUUUUUGUCAAUUCUGUAAUUUAAUUAAGUUUAAUUUACUUUUCAUCAAAACCAAACACCCAUCCAUUAUUAAAUUAUAUUAUUUAGUUAGUUUUCUUUAUUGUUAGUCUUUUAAUUUAAUUUCCGUCCAUUUCAGUUCCUAGUGUUUAAUUUAAUUGUUUUCAUUAUUUUGAGUCAUUUUAAGUGUGUUUCGAGUUAUUAGAGUUUUUAGCCUAGUUUUGUGUCCUUGAGUCUUGUUUAAUAUUUUUAAAUUAAUUUAGAGUAGAUUAGCAAUCCCUCCUAAUCCCCGGCCUAGAACGAUACCCUACUUACAUCUAUACUACAAUUGUCAAAAAGAGGGUUUAAUUUGUGUGUCAAGUAAUUCACGCAUCACUAACCAAGCGAAACAAUCAUAUUGUACAUACUAAGAAACCAGCUAUACAGUUGUCGCUAGUACAAAUACUACAAGAACAUUCAUUACAGCCAGCAGCUGACUCGUGUCUGAGACAUCUGGAGAAUUGACUUAUAUACAAGUUAGAAAAUUUGUAAAAUGUAGCCCGUAUAGAUCCACAAUUACCAAAAGGUCAACCUUUGGAUUGUCUACUUAUUUGAGACAUUCAAACAAGUUGUGAUAUAAAUCCAGAAAAAUCCACUGGGAAAGGAAAUAGGCCAUAUUCUCUUACAUUGGCUGCCUUGUCCUUGGAAUGCAGCGCGAAAACCCUCCUUAUGGCGGAAAACCAACUCCUUUUAUUUCCCAUGCUCCUAGCAUUAGCGUUCCUGCCUGAAAGGAAUAUGAAAGAGCCUUUGAGAAAGUUAUAUUUUGCAAUAGUUUAUGGAUUCAUUCAAAACUCCAACUCGGUGCUUCUACGCUGCUCUACUAUAUAUUUGAGUACAUAAUCUACUAUGUAAUUAAGUAGAAUUGUGAAUUAAUUGUAUAGUUGAACACAAGUACAAACACCCUUGAAAGAGAAAUUAAGGACAUCAUCAUCGUUCCUUCUUUAAUUUCCUUAAUAAUAAAUUAAGAAAAAACAGACAAACCAAACAACAAACAAUCUUCUCACUCCUACAACCAUGAAAUCAAGAGGGAGGGAGGGAGGGAGGGAGGGAUCCCAAGAAGAAAGAAUUCACAGAAGAAUCACAUAACAAGUCAGAACUCAGAACAAUUCUCGGCCAGUAAUACUCUUUUCUUUUUUAAUUUCAUUUUCUUAUAAUUAAAUUAAAUUAAUUAAAACUCAGAACCAUUUAUAUGCAUCUCCUCCUCCAAGACAUAAAACAUAUUAAAUAAACCCAAAAGUUAUUAAAAUAAAGAUAAUUAGAUGGAGCGACAGAUAGAGUAAGAUGAUGAUUCGAGUAAGGAAUCUGUACGUUAUAUAUCCUCAUCUCCUCCUCCUCCAAGAUGACUAACCAAGCUUCCAAAGACAGCACUCGGCCGAAUCCCUUUAAAAAGCAGCUGCUGCUGCUACAACUAAAAGGACAGACAGAGGGAGAGAGAGAGAGAGAGGAAGCAGCAAGAAGAGAGAAGUCUCUCAGCCUCCCUCUCCUUUGUUUCUUUUCCACAUCAAAAGGCUUUUCUCUGUUUUUAUUUAUUUUUACAUAUAAUAGUACUAAAAUGAAUGUUUUGGUGGUUGUUUAUGGAAUUAUUAUUCUCUUUCUCUGUACAACUUUGAAUCUGGUUCUUGCUGGUAUGAAUGAAUGAAUUUUACUUUUCUUCUUUCCCAUCUUUUGCCUUUUGCGGGAUGUAUAAGCCUUUUCUUUCCUUUUUUUUUGUGUGUCUGUGUGUCAUUGUGCGUCUGAUGGCCAUGAUGAUGAAGAGAGAGAAAGAGAGAGAGAGAGGUUGGCCACUUUCUCACUCAAUAUGGCUAACUUCAACUAACUUUACUUGAAUGGGAAAACUAUUAGAGCAUCUUCAUUCUUUUUUCUUUUUUUUCUUCUUUUGGGUCGAAAUAAGAUUUCAUUAGAGACGGAGGAAACUUCAGGGAAAACAAAGGAAAACAGGCUUUAGGCUUAAAGAGCACAAGUGAUCGAGACUUCAAGCGUAGCUUUGGUCGCCGUACUCAAAUGAAAACCCAAAGCCCGAGCAGCUUCCUAGUGAGGACAGUGAAGACCAUCGAUGGACAAAAUAUGAACGAGAACGGAUGGGGGUCUGGGAACCCAGACGUUCGGACACAUCCCCUCUUUUACAAUGCAAUGCAACCCAGUUAGCUAUAGAGUUCGCUUGGCCGGUGAUCGAACUCCAAUUAAGAAACUGGAAACGAUGGCGGAUAUUACAAAUUUGGAUUAUAAUGGGAAAAAUAGUCAAAGUAGCCUGUUUUGUUCCUUCGUUGAUAUUUUGAAUUAGUUGUGAAAGGUUAUUUUCGAUGGUAGUUUCCAUAGCAAGGAGAGCAGUACGCACCUCAGCUUCAAGGGAGUAAUAGCAGUUCCCCUUCCACCCUGAUCCACCAGGAGCCAGCUAGAUGUAUCCCUAAUAACCACCCCGAGCCCCAUGUGCCGAUAUGAUUUAGUCCAGGAGCCAUCACAGUUAACUUUGACAAAAUUGGAUGGAGGGGGAGACCACAUGGCAGGAGGACGAGAUCCCGGGGGGGGGAGGGAGGCGGAAAGUGGGCAGUAGAGGCACCGAUGAACUAGUCAGAGGCCACGGAUGCCAGCCUCAAAGUUCUAUAGGGGGAAGGUACCAAGUUGUAAAAACUACAAUGACCGAUUUUCCAAAUUUCUCAGUAGAUAAAGAGAGCCAAAGUUAAUACCCUAUUCAAAGCAGCACCGUUUCCGUCGAUGACCUUAGAAACAGCAAGCAACAGCUUGACGAUCAAUGCGAUAGUUUAAUCUGGAGCAAAGCAGACCGCAUAGGUCCAGGGACAUAAAAAAGGAUGCGUCCAGCUAAUUCUGGGAAUUGCAUGCACAUGGGGUAGAGGGGAUUGGCACGGAGAGAGAAAUGGAAUGGGGCCUCCAUAGUUGGAAGACAAUUAUUAACAAUUCGCCAGAAGAAAAACUUGAUAUUAAGGAGAGUGUUCAUGCCCCAUAUUUGCUUCCAGAUCGCAGGUUCAAUGAUUCUAGAACGAUGGGCAUUUCCAAUAGGAAAUUUUAUUUGAUCCCAUAUAACCUCUUUCUACACCUAACUUACUCUCAACAUCCAUAUUGUUUUUUAUUAAGCUAUCAAUAUCUCUUUAAACCCAAAUUCACUCUCUAAACUACCCUUAUAAACUCAAUUCAAUACGUAAAUUUAUCUUUACACCUAUUGAAAACAUUAAAACCCAAAAUCAGUAUUCAUGAAUGUUUUACAACUUCUAAACUUGAAAUAUGAAAUGAAUAGUUUAUUGGAAGUAUCACUAGUAGAAAAAACACUUUGCGCAACAAAAACUUGCGCGACGCAGCCAAAUUCAUCGCGCAAAGUAUGUUUGCGCGACGUUAAACACAAAACGUCGCGCAAACGGUCUUUGCGCAACGGAGACCGACGUCACACAAAAGUGUUUUGCGAGACGUAAGUUCACUUACGUCACGCAAAAUUGUUUUGCGCAACGGAGACCGACGUCGCGCAACUUGUCGUCGCGCAAAGGCCGUUUGCGCGACGUUUUGUGUGUCCCGCAAGAUUUUGGCGCCAAAUAUAGAUAGCUUUACCACUUUUUUCGUUGACUUUGUGCAACGCAAGGUCACAUACGUCACGCAAAACAGCUUUGCAUGACGCAUGUUCACUUACGUCACGCAAAACGGUUUUGCGCGACGCAACAUACGUCACGCAAAACAGCAUUGCAUGACGUAGGUGAACAUGCAUCACGCAAAGCUGUUUUGUGUGACGUAUGUGGCGUCACGCAAAGUCAACGACCUUUUCUUACUUCACUUAAUCAGUUUGGGAGGUAGAAACUGCAAACUAGUUGCAGCAGCUACCUCCCUCCCCCAUCUCUCUUCAAAACAUUCUCCAAUUCUCUCCCUUCCUCAAUCUUUUUCUAUCCGGUAAGUGAUUUGAUUUUGUAUAUGUAACUUUGAAUUGAGAAUUCAAACUAAAACUACUAAAUUUGUUUUGUACAGGAUUUUUGUAUACAAUUAUCAUUGAAGAACGAAUUUGAAGGUAUUUUCUUCAUGUUGCAUAUGGGAUUUUUGUAUAUGUACCUUUGCCUACUUGCUAUGCCCUUUUUUGGUAAUGGUUUGAGUUUUGUGAGAUUCAAUUUUGAAGUAAUCUUUAUUAAUUUUACCUAUUAGGUACCUUUGCCUGCUUGCUAUGCCCUUUAGUAAUCUUUAUUAAUUUUGCAUAUGGGUUAACUUAUAUAUUUACAUAGAAGAAAUUGUAAGAAAUGUUGGUUUCCCCUUCAAAUUUCCUUAAUUUGUGCUAUACGGUUGAAUUGAGGGUAAAUCCAAUGCACUGCAGGUAAUUAAGAAUUAUAUAGAAAACCUACAAAAGCCAUGAACUUCAAAGCUAAUCUUAUCAUCACUAUUAAGUUCUCAAUGCUAAGACAACAUGUUUUAGUUCAAUAAUGAGGGGCUUGAUUUUUGUGAGCAUAUGCCAUACUUAUUUAGAUAAACAAUGGCUACAAUUCUCCUAUUAAAUCCUUGUAGAAAGUUAAUAUCGUCUUCCAAUUUUAAUACAAGUAAGUAAUUCAGGAUUCAUUUUUAGUCUCAAUCCUUUGUAAACUUGAAGACAACCAAAUCAUCUUUCAAUAAGAUUUUUUAAAACCAAUAUCUAGCCAAAAUACGUGUACACUUGUGUUCAUAUUCUAACAAUACUUUUAUCUCACCAACAAAAUUACUCGAGUGUAACUAACUAGAAUAUGUAUAUUCUAUGAUAAUUAGUAUAAACAAAUAAAAACUAAGGCCAUCAACAUUAUAGUUUAGAAGUAUUAAUAUUUUGUAUCUAUUUUAUUUAGUUUCACUAGUUAUUGUGAUUUAAUUUAUUUGUAUGCACAUAUUUUUGUACAUCACGUACAACAUUGUUUUGUGUUGUACGAAGUUAAUACUACUUAACUUCGUACACUUUUUUCAAGAAAAGCUUAGUUUCCCGUUUGAGAAUUAGUUGGAUUUCGUGCAUGGAUGCAAAAGCAUGACUGCGGUCCAAUUAAUUCUUGAAUUGUCCCAUUUUUUGGACAGUUUGGGAAUUCAUAGUUAUGUGUUGUAGUUUGCGGUUCACGGAUUAGGUUUCUAUAGUGGAAAUUUUGGUAACAUUUCCUGAUGUUCUUCGAGUACACGGUGGAUAUUAUGUAUCUACGGCGUGCACUUGAAGAACUAUAAGGAGAUGCUGUCGAAAUUUGCCCGCGUCGAAAUUUCAUCCAUUGGAAUCGUAAAUUACGGCACAUAACUGUGCAUUCCUGAAUGGGAUAAGGCCCUUACCGGAGGAAUAAGGUGACAAGACAAUAGUUGAAGUUGUUGUAAUUCUUGUUCUUUUAUUGGGAUUGGAGACAAAAUGGACAGACAGUGGAUACAGAAUCAUAAUAGAUGUGAUGUUGAGUACUUGAUGGAAUAGAUGAGUUCAUUGAAUUCGCAACUAGACACAACCUAGGUUCAACUCAUAUCCGAUGUCCGUGUAGGAGGUGUAACAACUCAAUGAGGGAGACAUUCGAAAAUGUUCGAUUUCAUUUAGUAAGAAAUGGGAUGAUGGAGACCUGUACUACUUGGUAUCAUCAUGGAGAACGAUUAGACCAACUUUCGUCUUCAUAUAUGACACGAAUGGAGACUGUUGAAUCUAAUGUGGAUCCUAAUGAACAAGUUAUGGAUAUUCUAAAUGACGUUUAUCCAUACGUCUCAACCAACACCAAUGAGGAAGGGGGAGAUGACAGUCGUCCAACCAUGGACAGUGAGGCAUUCAAAAACUAUGAAAAACUAUUGAAAAAUGCCAAGCAAGAAUUAUAUCCGGGUUGCGAGAACUUUUCAGUGCUCACGGCAAUUGUGGAGUUGAUGCAUGGCAAGAUCAAGUUUCAUUUGUCAAACAAGUGUUUUGAUUACUUUUUGGGAGUUAUCAAGAGGAUGCUUCCAAAGGACAAUUAUUUACCUAAAGAUCAUAAAAGUGCCCAAAAAGUGUUGAAGGGUCUCGAAUUGGGGUAUGAAAAAAUUCACGCAUGUGUAAAUAAUUGUAUAUUGUUCUAUAAGGAGAACAUACAGUUGGAUAAAUGCCCUGUAUGCAUUGAGUUGAGGUUUAAAAUGACAUCGCAGAAUAGAAAGACCAAGAUUCCACAAAAAAUAAUGCGUUAUCUUCCAUUAAAGCCUAGGUUGCAGCGAUUGUACAUGUCGAUGCAUACGACAACCGAUAUGAGAUGGCAUAAAGAAAGACGGGUAAAUGACGAUGUGAUGAGGCAUCCUGCAGACGGAGAGGCAUGGAAAGAAUUCGAUCGGAUGUACCCUGAUUUUGCAGCUGACCCGCGAAACAUAAGAUUGGGACUUGCCACCGACGGAUUUAAUCCGUUCGGGGUUCUAAACCAAACCCACAGCAUUUGGCCGGUCGUUGUGUUUCCUUAUAAUCUGCCACCUUGGAAGUGCAUGAAAAAAGAAUACAUGAUGUUGACUGUAUUAAUUACCGAAGAUCCAAGAAAGUCCAUUGAUGUUUAUUUGCGACCAUUGGUUGAUGAGCUAAAAGAUUUAUGGGAAAACGGUGUUCGUACAUACGAUAAGUCUACUGGGCAUAUGUUCACCAUGCGAGUAGCAGUGAUGUGGACAGUAAACGAUUUUCUUGCGUAUGCAAUGGUUUCUGGGUGGAUGACUAAAGGUUAUUUAGCAUGUCCAAUAUGCAAGGAGAACGUAACAUCGUCUUGGCAUGCGAGAAAAGUUUGUUAUCUUGGUCAUCGUAGAUGGCUCCCUUGGGACAACGAGUGGCGUCACAACGAUAAAGGUUUCCACGGCACAAAAGAGACUCAACCAAGACCAAGAGAAUGGUCCAGAGAUGAGAUUUUGGAUCAGUUAAACCGUUUGGAAUUUGGUCAUUUUGGCAAAGGGGUCAGUAAGCCCAGACCAACUACACAUCUGAAUUGGAUGCACAAGAGUAUGUUAUUUGAGCUCCCGUACUGGUCAAAGUUAAAAUUGAGACACAAUCUCGAUGUUAUGCAUAUUAAGAAAAAUGUGUUUGAUACUUUGGUCGGGACAAUUCUAGACAUUGAAGGAAAAAUGAAGGACACGAUCGAAGCUCGCCUCGAUUUGGAACAAAUGGGCAUUAGAUCAUCCUUGUGGAUGAAGAAAGUUGGUGGUACAUUGAAGAAAGGCCAUCCUUUUUUUACAGUUAAGCCGAAUGGGAAGAAAGAGUUUUUCAACUUUAUUUCUUCUGUAAAGUUUCCAGAUGGGUAUGCUUCUAAUAUCUCGCAUUGCGUGAACGUAAGUGGGUGUAAAUUUUCAAACAUGAAAAGUCAUGACUGUCAUGUGAUACUCCAACGCCUUCUAUCAGUUGGUAUUCGACACUUAUUGCCUUUUGAUGUGGUGAAACCAAUAGUGUUGUUGUCGAGAUUUUUUUCACAGUUAACUGCAAGGUGUUUGCGGAAGUCGGAUGUUAAACAAUUGUAGGACGACAUUGUGAACGUCUUAUGCAAGUUCGAACAGAUAUUUCCUCCAGCUUUCUUUACAAGUAUGAUUCACGUGAUGAUUCACUUGUCAGAUGAGGCAUUGCUUGCC